GGCCCGCACAAGCAGUGGAGCAUGUGGUUUAAUUCGAUGCAACGCGAAGAACCUUACCAGGGUUUGACAUCCUGCGAAUCUCUUGGAAACGAGAGAGUGCCUUCGGGAACGCAGUGACAGGUGGUGCAUGGCUGUCGUCAGCUCGUGUCGUGAGAUGUUGGGUUAAGUCCCGCAACGAGCGCAACCCACGUCUUUAGUUGCCAGCAUUUAGUUGGGCACUCUAGAGAGACUGCCGGUGAUAAACCGGAGAAGGUGUGGAUGACGUCAAGUCAUCAUGCCCCUUACAUCUGGGCUACACACGUACUACAAUGCUACGGACAAAGAGCAGCAAGUUCGCGAGGACAAGCAAAUCUCAUAAACCGUGGCUCAGUUCAGA
Molecule: ribosomal RNA, 376 nt
Filed under: uncultured bacterium
Lineage: Bacteria
Description: bacterial SSU rRNA
Rfam family: Bacterial small subunit ribosomal RNA
Source: RNAcentral